Non-coding RNA from Gloeophyllum trabeum ATCC 11539, 101 nucleotides. NCBI's taxonomy places the organism in Eukaryota, Fungi, Basidiomycota, Agaricomycetes, Gloeophyllales, Gloeophyllaceae. The record is from Rfam.
UGCCCCAUGGCUGAGUUGGUUACAGCGUCCGACUGUUAUGUAAUGUUGCAUUACGUUAUUUCUCAAUCGGAAGGUCGUGAGUUCGAGCCUCACUGGGGCAG